UCCGAGUUGACCCCGGCAGUCUCCUAUGAGUCCCCACCAUCACGUGCUGGCAACAUAGAACGAGGGUUGCGCUCGUUGCGGGACUUAACCCAACAUCUCACGACACGAGCUGACGACAGCCAUGCACCACCUGUACACCGACAAAAGGGGCCCCAUCUCUGGGGCUUUCCGGCGUAUGUCAAACCCAGGUAAGGUUCUUCGCGUUGCAUCGAAUUAAGCCACAUACUCCACCGCUUGUGCGGGUCCCCGUCAAUUCCUUUGAGUUUUAGCCUUGCGGCCGUACUCCCCAGGCGGAGUGCUUAAUGCGUUAGCUGCGGCACAGAGAGGGUUGAAGACCUCCCCACACCUAGCACUCAACGUUUACGGCUGGGACUAC
This 376-nucleotide unclassified non-coding RNA is filed under the name uncultured Actinomycetes bacterium. RNAcentral describes it as "uncultured actinobacterium contains 16S-23S intergenic spacer region". Lineage: Bacteria; Bacillati; Actinomycetota; Actinomycetes. The record is from RNAcentral.